Molecule: ribosomal RNA, 274 nt
Filed under: uncultured bacterium
Lineage: Bacteria
Description: partial 16S ribosomal RNA
Rfam family: Bacterial small subunit ribosomal RNA
Source: RNAcentral
AUACGGAGGGUGCGAGCGUUAAUCGGAAUUACUGGGCGUAAAGAGUACGUAGGUGGUUUAGUAAGUCGGAUGUGAAAGCCCAGGGCUCAACCUUGGAAUUGCAUUCGAUACUGCUUAACUAGAGUAUGGUAGAGGGAAGUGGAAUUUCCGGUGUAGCGGUGAAAUGCGUAGAUAUCGGAAGGAACACCAGUGGCGAAGGCGACUUCCUGGGCCAAUACUGACGCUGAGGUGCGAAAGCGUGGGGAGCAAACGGGAUUAGAAACCCCUGUAGUCC